AGUGAACGCUGGCGGUAUGCCUAACACAUGCAAGUCGAACGGCAGCACAGUAAGAUCUUGCUCUUCCCGGUGGCGAGUGGCGUACGGGUGAGGAAUACAUCGGAAUCUACUUUUUCGCGGGGGAUAACGUAGGGAAACUUACGCUAAUACCGCAUACGACCUACCGGUGAAAGCAGUGGAUCUUCGGACCUUGCGCGAUUGAAUGCGCCGAUGUCGGAUUAGCUAGUUGGCGGGGUAAAGGCCCACCAAGGCGACGAUCCGUAGCUGGUCUGAGAGGAUGAUCAGCCACACUGGAACUGAGACACGGUCCAGACUCCUACGGGAGGCAGCAGUGGGGAAUAUUGGACAAUGGGCGCAAGCCUGAUCCAGCCAGACCGCGUGGGUGAAGAAGGCCUUCGGGUUGUAAAGCCCUUUUGUUGGGAAAGAAAAGCAGCAGGUUAAUACCCCGCUGUUCUGACGGUACCCAAAGAAUAAGCACCGGCUAACUUCGUG
This 492-nucleotide ribosomal RNA is filed under the name uncultured bacterium. RNAcentral's name for it is "partial 16S ribosomal RNA". It matches the Rfam family "Bacterial small subunit ribosomal RNA", at positions 29 to 507 of the family's 1533-position model. The record is from RNAcentral.